CUGACCCAGGGCCUCAGUUUAUUGGUGUUGACGGUAACAAUGUACUAAGUAUGUCGUCAGCUUCUGAGCCCACUCGCUGCGGAGCCUGCCAUCGGCGAUAAUUUCAGCACAGUGAGUCAACCUCCAGAGACCGUGCCGGCCAGGUCCCCAUCUGUCGGCACCUGGGCACGUGUAUGAGCUCAGCCACCCCUCCCUGGGCUGCCUGCCUGGGAACAGCCACUGUGUCCUGACCCGGCCGGCAGCUGUGACCUUGUGGGUCCCAGAGAGCCCUGCGACCUCAGUGGCCUGGCCACUCAGGCUUAGGGCCACUGUCAGUCAUGGAGGGUCUCACCCAGGACCCUCACCCAGAGAGGGAAAUCUCUUUGCCCAGGAAGCAGCUGCUGGAAACGUCUGAGCCCCAGAGAGACUGAGCUGUGACCUGGACCCCUACUUUGUGAGGGCACCUAGUUUGUUUCAUAGGAGUGUGUGCUCCUGGGGGCUGAACACGGAGCCCCCGGGGUGGCCUGGGGCCCUCACUGAGCAUCCUCAUACUGGGCCUCGUCGGGGGCUCACUUCCUCCCUUGUGCCCACCUGCCUGACCCGACCACACUGAAAGGCGGUCUGCUGCUGUGACCACAGGGGUGGCCGGGGGUGGAAUGGCUGGGCCAAGGGCGGCCAGGCUCCCCCAAACCUGGACAUCCGCCUGCCAGGCAAUGGUUGCCUGAUAUCUUCAGAUGCGAAUGUGUGGUUUGGCUCCAGAGGCUGGAGAGUGGGGUGGGCGCCUGGCUCCUGCUGACCUCUGGGGUUGGUGGGCAAAUUAGUAAGAGGAUUCACACAGACAGUUGUCCCAGGACCCAGGGACCUGGAGGAAGAAGGCGCCUCUGAGCAGCAGGUGAGGAUGGCCAGGGCCCUGUGUGUGGCAGUGCCACACGUGUCGGCCACGUUCCUGCCUCUUCACCUGGCUGUGGCUACUGACUGGCUGCCCCAGGGCCAGAGGCUUAAAAGCAGACGACUCCUGGGCACCACAGGAUGGCUGUGGGGCCGUUUCCAGGAGCUGUGGCUGUCCAGUGGACAGGUCAUGUUCUGGCCGGGGUCCAUAGCCCAGAUAACCAGCCACGUCUCCCCAGAGGUGCAGAAUGUCCCGCCCUACAGUCCAUCCCGCAACAGCCUGGGACCUCAGUGACUGAGCCAGCCCCUGCUGAUACACCCUCACCGUCUGACCCGGCCUCUCCUGGGCCCUGCACCUGUGUGCAGAAGACCCAGAAGAUUCCGGGGCCCCAUGGCACACGCAGGCUGGGGAUGAGGCCACAGAGACCCCAGGAGGGAGCUGAGGGCUGGGAGGAGGCCUUACUCUGAGGUCCCCGCCUCCCACAGCUGGGUUCUGUGCUGAGGUCCCGGCCCCGAGAGGCGAGGCGGGUGCAGCGCCCGGCUCUGUGAGGAGGAGGGCACCAGGACCCCAUACCUGUGCCAACAGGGGCAGGUGUCCUGGAUUAUGGGGGAGA
This 1481-nucleotide long non-coding RNA is filed under the name Equus asinus (donkey). RNAcentral describes it as "lncRNA (ENSEASG00005028216.1)". Lineage: Eukaryota; Metazoa; Chordata; Mammalia; Perissodactyla; Equidae. The record is from RNAcentral.